CGAGAAGCUUGCUUCUCUGAUGUUAGCGGCGGACGGGUGAGUAACACGUGGAUAACCUACCUAUAAGACUGGGAUAACUUCGGGAAACCGGAGCUAAUACCGGAUAAUAUUUUGAACCGCAUGGUUCAAGAGUGAAAGACGGUCUUGCUGUCACUUAUAGAUGGAUCCGCGCUGCAUUAGCUAGUUGGUAAGGUAACGGCUUACCAAGGCAACGAUGCAUAGCCGACCUGAGAGGGUGAUCGGCCACACUGGAACUGAGACACGGUCCAGACUCCUACGGGAGGCAGCAGUAGGGAAUCUUCCGCAAUGGGCGAAAGCCUGACGGAGCAACGCCGCGUGAGUGAUGAAGGUCUUCGGAUCGUAAAACUCUGUUAUUAGGGAAGAACAUAUGUGUAAGUAACUGUGCACAUCUUGACGGUACCUAAUCAGAAAGCCACGGCUAACUACGUGCCAGCAGCCGCGGUAAUACGUAGGUGGCAAGCGUUAUCCGGAAUUAUUGGGCGUAAAGCGCGCGUAGCGGUUUUUUAAGUCUGAUGUGAAAGCCCACGGCUCAACCGUGGAGGGUCAUUGGAAACUGGAAAACUUGAGUGCAGAAGCAGGAAAGUGGAAUUCCAUGUGUACGGUGAAAUGCGCAGAGAUAUGGAGGAACACCAGUGGCGAAGGCGACUUUCUGGUCUGUAACUGACGCUGAUGUGUGAAAGCGUGGGGAUCAAACAGGAUUAGAUACCCUGGUAGUCCACGCCGUAAACGAUGAGCUCGCUAAGUGUUAGGGGGUUUCCGCCCCUUAGUGCUGCAGCUAACGCAUUAAGCACUCCGCC
This 818-nucleotide ribosomal RNA is filed under the name uncultured Staphylococcus sp. RNAcentral's name for it is "bacterial SSU rRNA". It matches the Rfam family "Bacterial small subunit ribosomal RNA", at positions 72 to 873 of the family's 1533-position model. The record is from RNAcentral. Lineage: Bacteria; Bacillati; Bacillota; Bacilli; Caryophanales; Staphylococcaceae.